Molecule: ribosomal RNA, 440 nt
Filed under: uncultured bacterium
Lineage: Bacteria
Description: partial 16S ribosomal RNA
Rfam family: Bacterial small subunit ribosomal RNA
Source: RNAcentral
CCUACGGGUGGCAGCAGUGGGGAAUAUUGCUCAAUGGGGGAAACCCUGAUGCAGCGACGUCGCGUGAGUGAUGAAGUAUCUCGGUAUGUAAAGCUUUAUCAGCAGGGAAGAAAAUGACGGUACCUGACUAAGAAGCCCCGGCUAACUACGUGCCAGCAGCCGCGGUAAUACGUAGGGGGCAAGCGUUAUCCGGAUUUACUGGGUGUAAAGGGGGCGUAGACGGCGGUGCAAGUCAGAUGUGAAAGCCCGGGGCUCAACCCCGGGACUGCAGUUGGAACUGGGCUGCUAGAGUGUCGGAGAGGCAUGCGGAAUGCGGAGUGUAGCGGUGAAAUGCGUAGAUAUUAGGAGGAACACCAGUGGCGAAGGCGGCCUGCUGGACGAUGACUGACGUUGAGGCUCGAAAGCGUGGGGAGCAAACAGGAUUAGAUACCCUUGUAGUC